GACGAACGCUGGCGGCGUGCUUAACACAUGCAAGUCGAACGGAAAGGCCCUGCUUUUGUGGGGUGCUCGAGUGGCGAACGGGUGGGUAACACGUGAGUAACCUGCCCUUGACUUUGGGAUAACUUCAGGAAACUGGGGCUAAUACCGGAUAGGAGCUCCUGCUGCAUGGUGGGGGUUGGAAAGGUUCGGCGGUUGGGGAUGGACUCGCGGCUUAUCAGCUUGUUGGUGGGGUAGUGGCUUACCAAGGCUUUGACGGGUAGCCGGCCUGAGAGGGUGACCGGCCACAUUGGGACUGAGAUACGGCCCAGACUCCUACGGGAGGCAGCAGUGGGGAAUAUUGCACAAUGGGCGGAAGCCUGAUGCAGCAACGCCGCGUGCGGGAUGACGGCCUUCGGGUUGUAAACCGCUUUCGCCUGUGACGAAGCGUGAGUGACGGUAAUGGGUAAAGAAGCACCGGCUAACUACGUG
Molecule: ribosomal RNA, 468 nt
Filed under: uncultured bacterium
Lineage: Bacteria
Description: partial 16S ribosomal RNA
Rfam family: Bacterial small subunit ribosomal RNA
Source: RNAcentral